GUCGAGGAUCUUUAGCAAUGCCCGAAAGGGUGACUAUGCGACGCCGCGUGCAGGACGAAGGCCUUCGGGUUGUAAACUGCUGUCAGGGGGGAAGAAACCCCGCUAUUUAAAAGAUGGUGGGCUGACAUCACCCCCAAAGGAAGCCACGGCUAACUCUGUGCCAGCAGCCGCGGUAAGACAGAGGUGGCAAGCGUUGUUCGGAUUCAUUGGGUGUAAAGGGUCCGUAGGUGGCCCGUUAAGUCCGGCGUGAAAUCCCAGAGCUCAACUCUGGAACUGCGCUGGAAACUAUCGGGCUUGAGUGCCGGAGAGGUGAAGGGAAUUCCCGGUGUAAGGGUGAAAUCUGUAGAUAUCGGGAGGAACACCAGUGGCGAAAGCGCUUCACUGGCCGGUUACUGACACUGAGGGACGAAAGCAAGGGGAGCAAACAGGAUUAGAUACCCGAGUAGUCC
RNAcentral lists this ribosomal RNA (449 nucleotides) under uncultured bacterium. RNAcentral's name for it is "bacterial SSU rRNA". It matches the Rfam family "Bacterial small subunit ribosomal RNA", at positions 354 to 796 of the family's 1533-position model. The record is from RNAcentral.